GGCGAAAUAAUUUAAUUUUAAAAAUUUUAUCUUGCAAAGGUAACCUUGUUUUUUAACUUUCGCUU
Molecule: transfer RNA, 65 nt
Filed under: Poecilasma litum
Lineage: Eukaryota; Metazoa; Arthropoda; Thecostraca; Poecilasmatidae
Description: tRNA-Cys
Source: RNAcentral